CUCCGCCUACCGGGUUCAUACCAUUCUCCUGCCUCAGCCUCCCAAGUAGCUGGGACUACAGGUGCCCGCCACCACACCCGGCUAAAUUUUUUUGUAUUUUUAGUAGAGACGGGCUUUCACCUUGUUUGCCAGGAUGGUCUCGAUCUCCUGACCUCAUGAUCCACCCGCCUCAGCCUCCCAACGUGCUGGGAUUACAGGUGUGAGCCACCGCGCCUGUCCCUAUUGCUCACUUUUUAAGCCUGUUCCCCAGAUAGGAUUGGAGAAAUAUGCCAAUUAUCACAAAUGUUUUUACUACAUUUCUUCUUGCUUUAUGAAUUGCUGUAUUAACUGCAGUAAAGCUAUGAAAAUAUUUCCUAGAACACUCUAUUCUGCCAUACUCUUUUGUGAAUUUUUUUAAAAAUCUGGUGUUUGCUCUUUAGCAAAAUGUGACUGGAAAAUCUC
RNAcentral lists this long non-coding RNA (441 nucleotides) under Homo sapiens (human). RNAcentral's name for it is "HSALNT0054258". Lineage: Eukaryota; Metazoa; Chordata; Mammalia; Primates; Hominidae. The record is from RNAcentral.